Molecule: unclassified non-coding RNA, 334 nt
Filed under: soil metagenome
Description: partial contains 5.8S ribosomal RNA, internal transcribed spacer 2, and large subunit ribosomal RNA
Rfam family: 5.8S ribosomal RNA (bases 1-120)
Source: RNAcentral
GAUGAAGAACGCAGCGAAAUGCGAUAAGUAGUGUGAAUUGCAGAAUUCAGUGAAUCAUCGAAUCUUUGAACGCACAUUGCGCCCCUUGGUAUUCCAUGGGGCAUGCCUGUUCGAGCGUCAUUUGUACCUUCAAGCUUUGCUUGGUGUUGGGUGUUUGUCCAUUCUCUUGCAGAGGGACUCGCCUUAAAGUAAUUGGCAGCCAGUGUUUUGGUUUUGAAGCGCAGCAUAAGUCGCGAUUCAAAGCUAUACGCCCGCUUCCACAAGCCUUUUUCACUUUUGACCUCGGAUCAGGUAGGGAUACCCGCUGAACUUAAGCAUAUCAAUAAGCGGAGGA